GCCAUGCCGCGUGAGUGAUGAAGGCCUUCGGGUUGUAAAGCUCUUUUGGCGGGGACGAUGAUGACGGUACCCGCAGAAUAAGCCCCGGCUAACUUCGUGCCAGCAGCCGCGGUAAGACUAAGGGGGCUAGCGUUGUUCGGAAUUACUGGGCGUAAAGCGAGUGUAAGUGGUUAUCCGAGUUGGAUGUGAAAGCCUUGAGCUCAAAUCAUUAAAUGCUUUCCGGACUGGAUGACUAAAGUACCGGAGAGGAUGCUGGAAUUCCCAGUGUAGUGGUGAAAUACGUAUAGAUUGGGAAGAACACCAUUGGCGAAUGCGGCUAUGUGGACGGUUUCUGACACUAAUACUCUGAAGCGUGGGGAGCACACAGGAUUAAAUACCCGGGUAGUCCACGCCAUAAACUAUGGGGGCUAUACGUUGGCUAGCUUGCUCGUCAGUGUCGCAGCUUCUUCGUUAAGCACCCCGCCUGGGGAGUACGGCCGCAAGGUUGAAACUCAAAGGAAUUGACGGGGGCCCGCACAAGCGGUGGAGCAUGUGAUUCACUUCGACGCAGCACGAAGAACCUUACCUCCCCUUGACAUGUGACUCGUCAGCUCCCUAUACGGAGCCUUCGGUUCG
Molecule: ribosomal RNA, 615 nt
Filed under: alpha proteobacterium Se1Pw_3016
Lineage: Bacteria; Pseudomonadati; Pseudomonadota; Alphaproteobacteria
Description: bacterial SSU rRNA
Rfam family: Bacterial small subunit ribosomal RNA
Source: RNAcentral